GGCCCGAUGCGAGCCAGCUCAAAGUGCCACGACUCCAUUUAAAGGAAGAGGAUUCCCAGACGAACUGCCUGAGAAAUAAUUUGGGGAAAUAGCUGCAUAUUUUACUUCAGAUUGAAAGAAAUUCAACGACAACAUCCGUGCUUCUUCAACCGCCCCAGAAGCGGUCUACAGUAGCUACAUCAGCAGAUAUAUAUAAAAAAUAAGGACAGCUAACCCGUCAUAGUGGUCAUCAUGGAUCUGUAUGACCCUCAGACGCUAGGCAUCAUGGUAUUUGGAGGCUUCAUGUUCAUCUCAGCCCUUGGCAUCGUCCUGGUCUCCACCUUCUCCAUGAAGGAGACCUCGUAUGAGGAGGCUCUGGCCCAGCAGCGUAGAGAGCUGGGCAAGAUGGCACCUCCCAGCCAACUGACCAAGAAGGACAAGAAGAAGGACAAGGUAUCUGAGAAGAAGAACCGUGGUAAGAAGAAAGAUGACAAGCCCAAUGGGAAGCUGCCAGAAUCGGAACCAGAGGAGGUCCCAGUGGCCGUACCUGAACCAACCCCAGCCCCAGAAAGAGUCACUGCUCCUGCCCCAGCCCCAGAAAGAGCCACUGCUCCUGCCCCAGCCCCUGAACCAACCACUCAUCCUGCUCCAGUUCCCACUGCCGUAGAGGCCCCACCUGCCCCUGCACCAAAGGAGAAGAAGAAGAAGGAGAAGAAGGUGGCUAAGGUAGAGCCAGCUCAGGCGGCCACCACCCCCAUUGCCCCCUCCAAGCCUGCACCAGUCCUGGAGGCUGUCACCAAGGAGGUCCCUGUGAUGGCAGUGCCCCCAGUGGGCUCCCAGCAGACUGCAGCCAAGGCUCAGGAGGCCAAGGCUCAGGAGGCCAGGGCUCAGGAGGCCAGGGCUCAGGAGGCCAAGGCUCAGGAGGCCAGGGCUCAGGAGGCCAGGGCUCAGGAGGCCAGGGCUCAGGAGGCCAGGGCUCAGGAGGCCAGGGCUCAGGAGGCCAGGGCUCAGGAGGCCCAGAACCCUUCUAAGAAGAAGGCAUCUUCCAAGAAAAAAGCUGAGUCUGCCAUACCAGUGGACUCUGGUCUGGAUUCCCCCCUGUACCUGCCCUACAGGGCCCUGGUCUCUACCGUUAGCAGUAUGGUGAUCAGUCAGGGAGAGGCCCAGCGCCUCAUAGAGAUCCUGUCUGACAAGGCUGGCAUCAGACAAGACACCUGGCAGAUGGCUACUCAGAAGGGCGACCCGGUGGCUGUGAUGAAGAAACAGUUAGAGGAGAAUCAGAAACAGCUGGCAACUCAGCAAGAGGACGCCACCGCAGCCAAGAACAGACUGAGGGAACUCACCAAGGAGCUAUCUGCUGAGAAGUCCAAGGUGGCCAGUGUGGAAACCAGGCUGAGUUCCCAGCUCUCGUCCAGGGAGCAAGAGAUGAUCGCUCUGCAGGCUCGGAUGCAGGCCUCCUACCAGGACCACGUAGCACAGACACAGAAACUCACCGCUAAGGUCAUCAGUCUUCAGGAGCAGUUGGAGUCAGGUCCCACUGCCCAGCUGGCUUGUCUGCAGCAAGAGAACUCCAUCCUCAGAGAUGCCUUGAACCAGGCCACCAGCCAGGCAGAGAGCAAACAGAAUGCAGAGCUUGCCAAGCUGAGAGAGGACUGUGCCAGACUGACCAAGGAGCUGGGGGAGAGGAGUGAGAGCCUUCAAGCUGAUGAGAAGGUCAAGAGAGGGCUGGAGACAAAGGUGUCUUCUGUAGAGAAACAACUUACUCUACUGCAGGCCAGCCGUGUAGAGAGUGAGCAGGUGCUGCAGAGGAGGCUGGAGGAGGUUAGUGAAGAGUUGAGGAGUUCACAGAGCACCCUGGAGAAAGCCCAGCAGGACGCUACCUCCGUCGCAGACAUCCAGGUCCAUCUGGGCAGGAUAGAGGCUGAUCUGAAAGAGCGUAGUGCCCAGGUGGAGGCCCUAACAGCCCAGCUGGAGCAGACCGAGCUGGAGAAAGGACAACUGGAGGAUCAGGUAGAAUCCAUCAACGUCCUGCUGGAGGCCAGCCACAACAGAGAUGUGGACGAGGACACGGAGAUGUGGAGUUGGUCUUUUCUCAACAACACCAAUCAUUUAUCUUCCAGUCUUCAGGACAGAGACAGUCAGUUGGCAUCACUCCAACAGGAGCUGAAGCAUCUCCAAGAACUGAAACAGGAGGCUUCUGCAGUCGCUACAGCUGAGACCGAGAGCCCACCUAACAGAAUGAAGGAAAGAACGAGCCAGGAAGUGAAGCAACCCAAAGAAACAUCAGAGCAGGCCCAGAGCAGCACUGCUCAGUCCGACAACACCGCAGAACUGGCGGUGCUACAAACCAGGUUGUUUAUUAGUCUGGCAGAGAGGGACGCUAUGAUGGCAUCACUACAGGUGGAGCUAAGGGAAGCCAGGGACCAAUCGCAGAAGGUACAGGAGACCCUCGCUCAGGUCCAGCAGAGCCAGGAAUCAGAGCCUAGCACAGAGCUGCCGGAGCUGUUGGAGAAACUUAAGGAAGCAGAGGACAGCCACGGGACACUGCAGGCAGAGUGUGACCAGUACAGAACAGUCCUGGCUGAAACGGAAGGAAUGCUGAAGUGCCUUCAGAAGAGUGUAGAGGAGGAGGAGCUGGUGUGGAAAUCCAAGAUUGCUGACUCUGAGGACCAGUUGAAGAAGGCCCUGGAACAAGUGCACACUCUGAAGGAGACUGCAGAGAGCUUGAAGGCAGAGAACCAAAGCAUAGAACAGCUGAAGGAGCAGUUGAUGCUGUUGGAAGCCCAGUUGGAGAAACAGUCCGAGACCGCCCCGAAAGAGGAGGAAAUGGCACCGGUACACAUCUACAUCCACACAGUACACCAUAGCUCAAGGUCCGGUCCCAGUUGAAUCAGACCACAGAGGAGUUUGAACAGGCUCAGAAGACGGUUGCAGAGCUCCAGGCUCAGCUGGACCUGCUGAAAGAGGCAGGAGACUCCCCACAGGCUGACACAGAGGACGUAGCCCAGCUAAAGGAGCGCCUGCAGAAAGAGAGAAAACUAGUCAAAGAUCUUGGCCAAGCAGCCACCAAACUCCAGCAGCUCUUAAAGUCCACUCAGGAGCAGCUUGCCAAAGAGAGGAACAAACACCGCACACUACAGGACCACUCUGAUGAGACCAAGAGUACAGUGCUGAAGGAAGGAACAUCUGUUUAAGAGACUGAAGACAAGACAUUAAAACAUUCCAAAAAGGCCUUGAUAUGAUUACUAUUACCAUAGUUAUGUAUUCCAAAAUCAUUCUUAUUUCUUUGUACUGUAGUAGUUGAUUUCUGCAACUCCUGUAAGAAUCAAAGGACCAGUUUCCCAGACACAGAUGCAUGGUCAAUGGAGAAUCUCCAUUUAAAAUAACUUUUUAGUCCAGGACUAGGUUUAAUCUGUGUCUGUGAAACCGGACCAAAAUGUUUAGCUAUUGCUAUGAACAUUUCAUUGUAUGAUCUAUGAUGAGGAAAAAAAGACUAUGCUGCAAACAAAACUUUGUUGAAGAAAAACUUCCAUUCCAUCAAUGAUUCUGGCUAUGUCAGAAGUUAUACCUAAUACUAGCUUUGGUCCAGGGCAUUGGACCAGAGUUAACCUAUUACCUACUCUGCCUUAUAUUCACAAUGACCCCCCCCCCCAUCCAGAGUCCAGUGUUAAAAGGGAAAACAAUUGUGCGUUAACGCGUACAUCGACCUGUGCAAUUACUUUGUCUGUAUCCAAAAUGGCACCCUAUUCCCUAUAUAGCACACUACCUUUGACCAGGGCCCUCGGCGAAACGCAAUGGGCCCUUGGUCAAAAGAAGUGAACUAUAUAGGGAAUAAAUAUGGUGCCACUUUCGGACACACCUUUUGUGUGUGUCUUUUCUAAGAGGUUGGUUGAAUGGUGGGUAGAUUUUAUGGUACACACAAUGGAUGGGUGAAUGCAAUACAGUGAGUGCCUCCUUCAGUACUGUGUGCGCAGUAGCUGGCUGCCAACACACAUGAAUGACUUUGAUAAAGAAUAAACUACAAUGUAGCUAUGUGUAA
Oncorhynchus mykiss (rainbow trout) is the source of this 4018-nucleotide non-coding RNA. The record is from RefSeq and is a predicted model, not a curated record. NCBI's taxonomy places the organism in Eukaryota, Metazoa, Chordata, Actinopteri, Salmoniformes, Salmonidae.